Molecule: ribosomal RNA, 468 nt
Filed under: uncultured bacterium
Lineage: Bacteria
Description: partial 16S ribosomal RNA
Rfam family: Bacterial small subunit ribosomal RNA
Source: RNAcentral
GACGAACGCUGGCGGCGUGCUUAACACAUGCAAGUCGAACGGAAAGGCCCUGCUUUUGUGGGGUUCUCGAGUGGCGAACGGGUGAGUAACACGUGAGUAACCUGCCCUUGACUUUGGGAUAACUUCAGGAAACUGGGGCUAAUACGGGAAAGGACUUCCUGCUGCAUGGUGGGGGUUGGAGAGUGUCGGCGGUUGGGGAUGGACUGGCGGCGUAUCAGCUUGUUGGUGGGGUAGUGGCCUACCAAGGCUUUGACGGGUAGCCGGCCUGAGAGGGUGACCGGCCACAUUGGGACUGAGAUACGGCCCAGCCUCGUAUGGGAGGCAGGAGUGGGGAAGAUUGCACAAUGGGCGGAAGCCUGAUGCGGCAACGCCGCGUGCGGGAUGACGGCAAUCGGGUUGGAAACCGCUUUCGCCUGUGACGAAGCGUGAGUGACGGUAAUGGGUAAAGAAGCACCGGCUAACUACGUG